ACGGAAGGCAGCAGUGGGGAAUAUUGGGCAAUGGGCGAAAGCCUGACCCAGCGACGCCGCGUGAGGGAAGAAGGUCUUCGGAUUGUAAACCUCUUUCAGCAGGGAAGAAGCAUGACGGUACCUGCAGAAGAAGUCACGGCUAACUACGUGCCAGCAGCCGCGGUAAUACGUAGGUGGCGAGCGUUAUCCGGAAUUACUGGGUGUAAAGGGUGUGUAGGCGGAGAAGCAAGUCAGGCGUGAAAUUCAGAGGCUCAACCUCUGGACUGCGCUUGAAACUGUUUCCCUUGAGAGUGGGAGAGGUAAACGGAAUUCCUGGUGUAGUAGUGAUAUGCGUAGAUAUCAGGAGGAACACCGGUGGCGAAGGCGGUUUACUGGACCACAACUGACGCUGAGACACGAAAGCGUGGGGAGCAAACAGGAUUAGAUACCCUGGUA
Molecule: ribosomal RNA, 435 nt
Filed under: uncultured Oscillospiraceae bacterium
Lineage: Bacteria; Bacillati; Bacillota; Clostridia; Eubacteriales; Oscillospiraceae
Description: bacterial SSU rRNA
Rfam family: Bacterial small subunit ribosomal RNA
Source: RNAcentral